AUAAAUAUAGUUUAGAAAAAACAUUAUAUUUUCAUUAUAAAAAUAAUAUUUAAAAAUUAUUUAUUUAUU
RNAcentral lists this transfer RNA (69 nucleotides) under Pheidole megacephala. RNAcentral's name for it is "tRNA-Glu". The record is from RNAcentral. Lineage: Eukaryota; Metazoa; Arthropoda; Insecta; Hymenoptera; Formicidae.